CCUAGCACCCAGCUAGCUGCAGCCUGUUAGGAGGAGGAGCCAACUACAUCUCCUCUGUGUGCCAGGAAAAGGAGAAAAGGAAGAGACUUCAGAUGAUCACAGCACUAGUGGCUCAGUGAUUAGAAUGCCAUAUUGCAGGCAAACUCUACCCACAGUCUGGAGUUCGAACCAGAUGGAGCUCAAGAUUGACUCAGCCUUCCAUCCUUCUGAGUUUCUUAAGUCAUGGCACUGAGCCACUUGGACCUACUUACUUGGCUAUUUCAUUUGGAGAACUCCCAAGAAUGCUUUUGUGAUGAAGCCUGCAAAGAUCUUUGGAUAUGAGCCAUCUGAAGGAGCUAUACGAGAUGUAAAUUAACCGUGCUGCUAAUAUCUAAUAAGUCUUGAUUAAAACAUUUAAAGUAUCUCAACA
Long non-coding RNA from Pantherophis guttatus, 409 nucleotides. RefSeq lists it as uncharacterized. The record is from RefSeq and is a predicted model, not a curated record. NCBI's taxonomy places the organism in Eukaryota, Metazoa, Chordata, Lepidosauria, Squamata, Colubridae.